Molecule: long non-coding RNA, 324 nt
Filed under: Chloebia gouldiae (Gouldian finch)
Lineage: Eukaryota; Metazoa; Chordata; Aves; Passeriformes; Passeridae
Description: Erythrura gouldiae (Gouldian finch) lncRNA (ENSEGOG00005008079.1)
Source: RNAcentral
CGCAGAGGUUCUGAGGCACCCUCUGGAAGCACAGCCCAUGUUCCCACCCCAUCCCAGGCGCCAGCUGUGCUCCCUCUCAGCCCUGGUAGGCAGAAAAGAGCUGUGCAUCACUUAAAUCUGAGGAUUUCCCUCUCCCAGCCCAGGACAGGGAUGGCCACUGUGUCCUCGCUCAGGAUUCUUCCAGAACUGGUGGCAAAUCUUCAGCUGUGAUGUGACACUGCACCACAAAGGGGAAAAUCCAGCCCAGAAUUGAGGGAAUGUUUGAGAGCAGCUCAGCAAAAAGCAGUGAAAUCUUUCAGCUCAAAAUGUGUCAAUCUGUUCCCU